Molecule: long non-coding RNA, 520 nt
Organism: Sinocyclocheilus grahami
Lineage: Eukaryota; Metazoa; Chordata; Actinopteri; Cypriniformes; Cyprinidae
Exons: 5
Source: RefSeq, a predicted model, not a curated record
CUUCCGUACUCACGUUGACUAGCGUAACAGGCAAACGUGAGAUAUUUCUUCAUAUUAAUUUGACAUUUUAAAAGAAAACUAUGUAAUUGCAGACGGUGCAGCAUGAGAAAUACUGAAGAUCUGGAGUAGUAGAGAGGAGACAGCACCAUCAUAUCCUUCUCAGCUGUUGUCAAGUUCGUCUCUAUCUCACAAACAUGUUUCCAGAAUUGAACAGUAUUCUCAAUUCCACUCCAGACAGUUUCAAAUCGAGUGACUUUAUCCUGGUGUCAAGACAGACGAGCUGAUGCAUCAUUUCUCAUUCAUCACCAUCUGUCUUUCUAUUUACGUGCUGGCUGUAAGGUGUGUUUUCUGGGUCUUGUGCAGUCCUUCAGUCACUACAGUGCUGUCAGUCAGAGGCUGGGAGUGAGUCUGGCCCAGGCAAGAGAGAAGGGCCAGCUAGUGUUUCUUGAAGGACUGAAGAAUUCUAUCGGAGUUAUAUUACAGGAGGACACCAGUCAGGAGACACAACCCUUGAGUUAUC